UGUGGUGACGAUGGCGAGAAGGAUACACCUGUUCCCAUGUCGAACACAGAAGUUAAGCUUCUUAGCGCCGAGAGUAGUUGGGGGAUCGCUCCCUGCGAGG
RNAcentral lists this ribosomal RNA (100 nucleotides) under Lactiplantibacillus plantarum. The record is from RNAcentral. Lineage: Bacteria; Bacillati; Bacillota; Bacilli; Lactobacillales; Lactobacillaceae.